UUUUUUGAUUGCUCAUCUAGUCACCUACCAUCUGGUAAUGAUCUAAGCCGUAAAUUCGGACGGCAUGUGAAACUGAUCCGAUCUUAUUUUCUUCUUCCUUCUUCUUCUUCUUCUUCUUAUUUUCCAUUGGCACUGCCGUACCCCCAUCGA
Molecule: non-coding RNA, 150 nt
Organism: Caenorhabditis elegans
Lineage: Eukaryota; Metazoa; Nematoda; Chromadorea; Rhabditida; Rhabditidae
Source: Ensembl